Syzygium oleosum is the source of this 798-nucleotide long non-coding RNA. RefSeq lists it as uncharacterized. The record is from RefSeq and is a predicted model, not a curated record. Lineage: Eukaryota; Viridiplantae; Streptophyta; Magnoliopsida; Myrtales; Myrtaceae. The transcript has 2 exons.
AACACUAGAUUCUCCUUUUCUCUCUCACGCUGGAGCAGAAAUUUUAGGGUUUGUAACAAAGCAUGUGUUUCCACUUGUAGGGAGGAAGUCGCACGGACAAAAGAAGAGAAUCCAUCAACAAGCCUUCCCUGGUGAUCACGACACACGCAAGCUACUACUCCUUCUUCCCUUCCCGGUGUGUAGGCUCCAUUAAUAUUUAUUUUAAGAUUCCCGAGCGUCGGUGGACACCAAAUCUGGGAUGAGCUGGUCGGGUUUUGGAGGGUUUUCGCAUUGUGCAGGCCCCAAGUGCUAAUGAUUCUCGAACUUGCGAGAGCGGUUUCCACAGUAAAAGCCGGAUCUGGGCAUUGUUUUCUAAAUACGAAAUGGUUCCGCACCUUCCAUAUCUGCCAAAGGACCGAGGCUACGACUUCCAGAUCAGAGCGAGGCCAAGCGAGCAUUUCCUUCCUCAGUUUCUUCCAUGGUGACUAGAAGAGAGAUGCUUCAGUAACAAGAACCCUAGGGGAAGAAAUUGCGUACUACUGCAUGUAAAAAUCAGAUUAAGGAGAGUGGGAAAGAGGCCUCUAGACCCGAUGGAGCAUUGAAGGGAAAUCAGAUUUCAUGGGUAGGGUUUAUGAAAAGGUGACAGCAAAUUUAGGGUUUAAUGCCAAAUGACAAACAGAAAACGAAACUCUAGGUGGUGAGUAAUUCUAGACUAAAAUAUUCUGGGGAAAAGGUCGAGAUUGCAAUGGAUAAUGGAUAGUUUUUUGUGGAAAUGGUGAUCUAUUUGGGAUGGAAAUGUUGAAAAUCGUGCUUGCUUCA